Dermochelys coriacea (leatherback sea turtle) is the source of this 655-nucleotide long non-coding RNA. RefSeq lists it as uncharacterized. The transcript has 2 exons. NCBI's taxonomy places the organism in Eukaryota, Metazoa, Chordata, Testudines, Dermochelyidae. The record is from RefSeq and is a predicted model, not a curated record.
UGGAGAUGAUGAAAGGAACAUGUCUGAACAUGCAGGGUCUUCAGGAGAAUCCAUCCUCAACAUUCAGGAUUCUGAAGACUAUCCACCUUCAAGAUCACCAUCAUUUUCUAUAGUUUCAGAGUUAUCUGCCAAAGACAGUGUUUCAGUCAUAUCAUGUAUAUCAUAUAACCACAAUAUAUCACCUGUAGCAAAAAGAAAAAAAAUCUCCAUCAUCCAGAAACAACCAUAGAUAAGUUUGUUAUAAGAACCAACAGAUUACAAAAAGAGGUGUAAUUGAUGAAAAAAUUGCCUGGGUUGUUUAUGCAACAAACUCUCCUUUCCAUAUGAUUGAGAACCCACACUUUAUUAACAUGGUUCAGUCAUUAAGACCAGAAUACAGUCCACCCUACAGCGCAGAUGUCACAGGCAAAUUGCUGGAUAAACUGUAUGAAAGAGAAAUUGAGCAGCGUGCAAAAAGUCUAGAGCAGGGAUAGGCAACCUAUGGCAUGUGUGCCAAAGGCGACAGGCGAGCUGAUUUUCAGUGGCACUCACACUGUCCAGGUCCUGGCCACAGGUCCGCGGGGCUCUGCAUUUUAAUUUAAUUUUAAAUGAAGCUUCUUAAACAUUUUAAAAACCUUAUUUACUUUACAUACAACAAUAGUUUAGUUAUAUAUUA